Molecule: ribosomal RNA, 270 nt
Filed under: uncultured archaeon
Lineage: Archaea
Description: partial 16S ribosomal RNA
Rfam family: Archaeal small subunit ribosomal RNA
Source: RNAcentral
CUGCAGCCCGAGUGGUGAUCGAUUUUAUUGAGCCUAAAGCGUCCGUAGCCGGACUAGUAAACCCUUGGGUAAAUUGGGCAGCUUAACUGUCCAAAUUCCGAGGGGACUGCUAGUCUUGGGACCGGGAGAGGUCAGAGGUACUCCAGGGGUAGGGGCUAAAUCCUGUAAUCCUUUGGGGACCACCAGUGGCGAAGGCGCCUGACUAGAACGGAUCCGACGGUAAGGGACGAAACCCUGGGGCGCGAACCGGAUUAGAGACCCGAGUAGUCC